GUCCAAUCAGGGACUUUAAUAAAACGAAGCCUGCCAGCCCAGGGCGCUACCCAUUCGCUGCGCGCGGAAGACCGAGAGUUCACGCCGGGGACAAGGGCGACCCGGCCGGGGGUGGGUGGGGAGUGGGGGGUGGGAUUCCCAACCCACCGGGGCUGCGGGCCCCCUUUCAUGGCGCCUUUUGUUGGGCUCGCCCUGGCGCGGGAGUGGCGCGAUCAGGUGCUUGGCCACGAGCCGGGCAAGCGGGGUCCCUGCCCAGGACGGACGGCGCGCUGCCGUGGGUGGAGCUGUCCCACAGGGGCCGGGCCACACCCACUCUGUGAGUCUCUCGCAGUGAUUAUGACGGAAGGAAGACAUACCAGAACCAAGUGCUGGCUCAGAGGUGUGGACCUAGUCUUGAAGCCCUGUGAUGAACAGAAUCUGUUUCCAGUGUCUCUUGGUGCAGCCCAUGGUGACGUGGCCUGUCUUUCAACGCCGCAGUUCUGCCACUAGAAGAGAAACUGGCUGGGAUUUUGCCCAGGGAAAGGACAGCUUGGGUCGGAUCACCCUCCUGGCACCUGUCAGCCAUGACCAGCGUGUGUGUGCCUGUGGAAGAGUCCCAGGGUAUCGAGGCAGUCAAACUCACCAAGGGAGAGAGGAAACUUUGAGAAAACAGUUCCACUAUCCACGGAAACCAGCGACGGCCAGAUGGGCCCCUCCACCAAAUUCUAACCCAUGGUUUUUACUUACCUAUGAAAGCUGAUCGUGUCGGAUCAUAAAUUCCUAGUUCACUGAAGUUAAAAAGUGUCUUUCUCAUAAAAAGGCCCAUAAAGGGUAGUGUUUAAGUGGGGCUAAUAAUAGUGGCACCUCAUAGAACUCCCGUGGGGAUUAAAUGACGGAAUUCAGGUACAAACCGUGUGCCGGGCACACAGCAAGCUGGCUGUCAUUAUGCACGCGAGGAGAGCCCUUCUGAAGGUGUUCACCUAAAGUCUCCAUCAUUUCCUGGCAUGCAUGGUGACUCCCUGAGGGCCGCAGAAGCAGGGUGUCUGGUAGGGGCACAGAUCUGCAUGUGUGUACCUGUUUGUGUGGGGUGGGGAGGUGGGUGUCCCAUGCAGGAUGGGAUUUGCUGCCCCUCCCCUAAAUCUUCCAUCCCUAACUGACAUAAAAGUGAAUUUGUUUCCUGAGAAUCUUGUUUCCUCGGAGAAGAUCUGCUGUUCCUGGGAAGUGGUUCAUUUCAUCAAACCCCAAAAUGAUUUCAGCUGUCUCAUGGAAUAGGCGUGUCCCAUCGUCAGCCCUGUGGCCACCUCUCUGGCACUUCCGGGAAACACAGACAGCCUGCUGCGUGGGGCAGCUCCGUCCCAGCCCAGUUCCUUCCAGACCAUCCCGACCUGUGGACCGCAGGCUCCCCGAUCCCUUGCGGUGACCCCCAGUGCCGCUACAAACCCCGCUUGCCCAAGAAGGGCUGUGCAAAGGAGGCAUAUGGUUUUUAUAACUGACAAGACGUGUGGAUUCAUUGCAACGGCCAGAACUGGCAUGCAAGUGAACGCGGCACAAGAGGAGCUUGGCUGUGGCCGUGCCGGCUGCCGGGGGCCACCAGCAGGUCCCCUCGCUUCUCCCGCAUAGCUGCCUCGUCUCUGAAGUGGAAAUGCUGUGGAUCUGGAGCCAUCAAGGAGACCAGGGCCGUGAAUGGCCUUUGCACGUUGACACGCU
This is a long non-coding RNA of Oryctolagus cuniculus (rabbit), 1686 nucleotides long. Lineage: Eukaryota; Metazoa; Chordata; Mammalia; Lagomorpha; Leporidae. The record is from Ensembl.